GCCUAUCCAGCCUUUCCUUAUAACUCAAACCUUCCAUACCUGGCAACAUCCUGGUAAAUCUCUUCUGAACUCUCUCUAAUUUGAUAAGGUCCUUCGUAUAACUGGGAGACCAUAACUGGACAUAGUACUCCAGAAGUGCCCUCACCAAUGUCCUGUACAGCCUCAACAUAACGUCCCAACUGCUGUGCUCAAAGAACUGAGCAAUGAAGAUAGGAACUGUAGUAAUGAAGAGAGGCAGAAGAGAGGAGAGUUGGGAGAAAACUGGGAGUUGUGGAUGGAAAUAAUAGAGAUGGAUUUCGACCCAGGGAGUAAUGGACAUUUACAUGUGUGUGAGGGAGAGAGAGGUGGAUUAUAACCUGAUGUCGUGUGAUUACUGAUACUGUCCAACCCAGUCGAAAACCGUCACCUCAUCAUAUGGUCAUGGAACAGUGCGCAGGCGCAGUACUGCGUGUAACUGGAGGAUGCGCGAGAUCGGCCACGGCGGGUGACAGAGAAGUUUCAUAAAGAUGUUGGUGUCUGCUGCCUGUCCCUAAUUGCCUUUUCUGAGGGCGGUUAAGUGUCAUCCACAUGACAGUGGAACUGGAGUCGCAUGGAGUAAUAUUCUGUGUAAUCUACCUGUGCAAGUGAAGGGACCACAUUAUUCCUAGUCCUGAUUCCUGGCCUGAAACUGACUGGUACGAAUUGAUAACAAUAUACACACAGCCACUUAGCAGAAACUAACAGGAGAUCUCUCUUCUGUCGUCUUUUGGGCAAAUACGCCAAGGACCAAGACAAUGUAAUAUUUCCUCGGUACAAAGCCAAUUGUGACCAGCUGCUUCUGUCAAACAGCAGGUAAAUGCAAGAGAGAGAAGAUAUUGAUGUAGCAGGCACCAGGUCACACUGAGUUGGACUGCUGUGCUACAAAACCACGUUGGAAAUGUCACAGAUUUCCGUGCUUCUGAUCUUUUUGAAUCUUGCUCUCUGCGGCAUCAGCCAAGGUCGGAGGCAUCUGCAAAUUUCUUGGAUAAUCAUUUGGAAACCUGAGUUCUUGCUGUGCAUGUCUUUUAAGUGAUGUUUUCUUCCAAACAUGAGACAAAUGGGACUUAAUCCAGUCUUUCCAGUCCUGAGUGAGGGAUAUCCUCUCAAAGAUCGGGCACUGGAAUCAUCUUCAACUCUUCUCCCUUGCGGAUACCCCAUCAGUUACAGUGAGGACUAAUGACCAUUUUCAUUGAAUUGGUCACAUUGGACAGAGUCCAUUUAGUAAACCUGUACCAAAGGUUAACCCCACCACGAUACUUCAAAUGACUGUGUGAUUUAAAACGGGUUGAUUGGAAAAACAGAGUUGUGAUCAUUUUGAAAGGGAGAACAGAAGAACAGUAUUGUUUAAAUGGAGAGAAACUGCAGAAAGCUGCAACACAAGGGAACUUGGGGGGGACGGUGAGUGUGCAUGAAACAUAGAAAGCUCGCACAUGGGGGAUGGCAGGUAAUCAAGAAGGGUGAAGGAAAAGUUUGCUCUUAUUUCAAGGGGGUUGGAGUAUAAGAGUGUGGAAGUCUUACUGCAACUGUACACAGUGCGAUGGAGACCACAUCUGGAGCAGUUUUGCUCCUCUU
Rhincodon typus (whale shark) is the source of this 1590-nucleotide long non-coding RNA. RefSeq lists it as uncharacterized. The transcript has 8 exons. The record is from RefSeq and is a predicted model, not a curated record. NCBI's taxonomy places the organism in Eukaryota, Metazoa, Chordata, Chondrichthyes, Orectolobiformes, Rhincodontidae.